UUAAAUGUAAAUAAUUUAAACUAAGUGAUUAAUAGUUAAGUUCUUUAAAGCUAAAUAAUUUGGCGGUAUUUUAAACUAUUCAGAGGAACCUGUCCUAUAAUUGAUAUUCCACAAUAGAAGUUACUUUAAUUAGAAAUUUUUAUAUCGUCGUUAUAAAAUAUUUUAAAAGAAUAAAUAUUUAAGUUUCUUUAUAAAGAAGAAAAUCAGAUCAAGGUAAAGUUUAUAUUAAAGAAGAGAUGGGUUACUAUUUAUUUUAUUAUUGGAUUUAUUUUUUGAGAAUUUUUUUGAAAUUGGAUUUGAAAGUAAUUAAUUAUACUUAUUUUUAAUGAUUAAGCUCUAAAAUAUGC
This 347-nucleotide ribosomal RNA is filed under the name Aphidecta obliterata. Its description in RNAcentral is "partial 12S ribosomal RNA". The record is from RNAcentral. Lineage: Eukaryota; Metazoa; Arthropoda; Insecta; Coleoptera; Coccinellidae.